This is a non-coding RNA of Ictidomys tridecemlineatus (thirteen-lined ground squirrel), 1612 nucleotides long. The record is from RefSeq and is a predicted model, not a curated record. Lineage: Eukaryota; Metazoa; Chordata; Mammalia; Rodentia; Sciuridae.
CAACCACCCUAACGUCCAGCAACUGCCACCAGAGCUGCUUCACUCCUUGUCUGGCCUUCAAAGGGAGAGACUUCCUGUGCCGCCUCUAGGCUCACAAAGCCUGUCGCGGCAGCCUAGCCCGCAGCCAGGAUGCUGGACUGUCCUCUCACCGCCAGCCGGUUCUCUCUGGUCUCCGCGCUCCUUCUGGCUUCUCUAACCCUGCGGACUUCGGGUUGCCAGCGCCUCACCUGGGUCUGCGCGCCUUGAAUCGCUCACAGAGUAGUGAUCCCCAACCUACAAAUGAGGAAACCGAAGGAAGCCCAGAACCCUGGAAGGCAAUCCCCAGUGGCCACUGAGAGUAGUCACCAAAAACAAGUACUAGCUGGCUGCAGCUCCGAUCUUCUUGUCACGUCCUAUUCUGCAAACUGAGACCUAUCAGGGGCCUUUAUACCCAGGGCUGCUCCUCAUGCUAGUGUUGCACUGAAGAGAAAAUUAUCAAAGCCACGGCUGUGCACCUGCCUUCUCCAGGCCCCACCUGAAUAUUUGUACCAACAGGCUGUUUCUGAGUCUGGUAAGGAGGGCCACUCUGACCUCAGCUUUCCUGGGAUAUUUGGUGUGUAGGAUGCAGGGUUCUCUUCCAGCCCAGACUGCAGGUGAGGGAAGCAAUGUGUGUGUGUGUGCACAAGUCAAUGUAGACUUUACUGCUAAAGAAAAAAGAAAUCGGAAAAAAAAAAAAUGUUUUCUAAGAAGCUCAUGUCCAGAGAAACGUAAACCUCUAAAAAACUGAGGUCUGGAUCAGAAGGAUUUCUACUUUCAUUAAGGACUGAGUAAUUCAGAACAAUCUUCCAGAUGAAGACAACUAAAAAAGCUGGAUAAAAUAUUUUAAAAUUCAAAGGGCUAGUAAGGAAUUGCUAGGCCAAAACUUGGGAAAGGAUUCUGUGGACACAAGCGUGGAACUUGGGAUUGCUUUUGUUCUGGGGGAAGGGUGCAUUUGUUGAUUCUGUAGGGGGUUUGAGAAUCUAAACUGAGUUUUGGCAUCCUUUAAAGGCUUAUGGAAACUGGAAGUCCCAAGGCCAAAAAUGCUCAAGCAUAGAACUUAUUUAAGGUGACUCCAAACUGUUAGUAUCAAAAACUAGAAUUCUUUUGGGAGGAAGAGAAUAUCACCUUAGGCCUUGAUUUCUUUCUACAGAUACUUUCUUGAAUAUGGCUUCCAAAUUAUCAGAGGUAACCAGGCACCAGAAGGAGGACAAUACUAAGAAAAGAAUAACACACAACAGGGUCUCCAGAUGCUGGGAUAUUUGGACACAGACUGUACAACAACUAUGUACAUGCUAUUUUCAAGAAGAUAAAAAGCCAUGCUUAGAAAUUUGCCAGAGAACGCAAAAUUCUAACAGGUGGCACAGGAGAUUUUUGGGGGAGAAAAAUAUUCUAGACUAAAUUAAUAAUGGGCACUAGAGUUAAAAUAUAGUAGAAACUCAAGUAUGGUGGACUUGGUCCAUCUCUGAGCCCAGGAAAAAGUAAAGAUGAGCAAGUAACCUCAGAGAAAUUGAUAUAGUAGUUUACUGUUUUCCAUUUCAGCUUUUGGCCAUCACAAAAUGGAUACCCCAAAAAUAAAUAAUUUUAACUAUAUUAA